CAGCUGCGGGGUCCUGCACCGCGACAUCAAACCAGCAAACAUCCUGGUUGACCUGGCCACCGGGCAGGCUAAGCUGAUUGACUUUGGCUGUGGCACCUACCUGCAAGACACAGCCUACACUCACUUUGCAGGAACACCAUCACACAGCCCCCCGGAAUGGACCCGCUUUGGCUGGUACCAUGGCGAGCCAGCUACCAUCUGGUCCCUGGGCAUCCUGCUGCACAAGAUGGUCUGUGGGAAGAUGCCUUUCAGGAGGGGCUGGAACUUCAGCUGGGGCCAGCUCUCACUGCCACAACGGCUCUCUCCAGAGUGCCAAAAUCUGAUCGGGUGGUGUUUAUCCAUGCACCCCUUGGCCAGACCCUCAUUAGAAGAGGUGUUCAGUCAUCCUUGGAUGCAGGAUAUUCAUCUGCCCUAGAAGAAGGGAGAGAGCCACAGGCACACUUAGAUCCAGGGCCCUGGGAAGGAAAAGGAGCCCCUGGAGAAGCUGUACCGGGUGGGCUGCUGCUGCAGGAGACGGCGAGGAUGACAUGAUGAUGACAACCUCUCCCUGGACCUGGCCACCAGCAGUUGAAGAGGAAGCAUUCUAGGUGGUCCAGUCUGGAUUGGGAAGUACUUGGGACCAGCUGCAGCGUGGAUGGGCCGUGCCCUUGGAGCAGGCUGAGGACAUCGUUUGGG
Molecule: long non-coding RNA, 675 nt
Organism: Passer domesticus (house sparrow)
Lineage: Eukaryota; Metazoa; Chordata; Aves; Passeriformes; Passeridae
Exons: 5
Source: RefSeq, a predicted model, not a curated record